GGGUCGCUCAGAGGGACCACCAUCUCUCAGGUUGGAGCGCAGCCCCGCCCCACACCCGCUUUGCUUGGGGGUCCUCCCACCGAAACUCUCCCAGGUUUCUUCCCAGUCUCCAUCCCUCGAGACGGUCGCUCAUCCCUGUUUCCUAUGUGUCCCUCGGCCCUUUCUGCAGCCCCCAGGCCUCAACUCCUUACCCCAGUUUGGGCAAUGAGCUGCACCACUCUUUGGCCCAGGCCCGGGACAUGGCGGGUGGGUGGGCGCCGAGGGCCUGGGAGAAGGGCGGAGCGCUGUGCCGGACAGGGGAUGAGGCCGGGUGACGGCGGCGACGCCGAGAGUCUGCAGUGUGUGAGCGAGAGUGAGCGCACAGCGCCCGGCGAGCAGGUGCCUGUGGCGCGGAGAGCGCACCAGCGAGCCAGCAAGCAGCGGCCGUCCUCUUGGAGUUGGGGUUUCGAUAUUCUUGUCUCGGCUGACCUUUCCCGUCCUCCCUGUACCACGUACAGCAACAUUGAUUUUGGGUGACUUUUGGAUUCUUCUAGUCACUAUCAGAAGACUUUGCAUUCUAUGGGUCAACUCAGCAUACCUCCCAUACACCUUCUGUUGACUUUGCUUUAAAGAUUUAUACUUGAAAUCUUCCAAGAACUGCUGUUGGGCCUUGGAGCUACCUGUUGAAUCCUUCUGUCUUCAGGACGCUAGACAGCCUGGAUCCAUGACAAGAUCAAUUAUCAGCAGAGAAAACAGCCACCACGGAGCUUCUGAAUGCUGCCCAACUCUCCUUGAUCCCCAGUUCUUCUCACCUCCCCAUUUCUUACCAACUCCUCAGUGAAGGAAGUUUCUUUUGGAUUCUCUUGAGGAACAAGAGAACUCAGAUCUUAUGUGAUAGAUCCAUUAUGAGACAGGCCCACUUCUCCAAAAUCAAAAGAUCUGAAUUCCUUAUCUAACACUCCAACCAGGCUGCUCUCAUAUCUCCAACUUUUCUUUAUAGUAGGACAUUCCCCCCAACAAGGUUCUAGGGGCUAUUUAGGAGUUAUUAGGGCUGGCUUCCAGUACCUUGACAAAGUUCUAAUCCCUUAUCUAGUUUUAUAUUCUGUUUGCUUUCUCAUUCAUCCUUGGUUCAACAACAGCAAGAUCUGCUUCCAAGAAAACAUUCCUGAUUCCUAUGUGUUCUUAUUGAUCAGGUCCCUUGGUGAAUAGCCCAUCUCUUCUCUUAGAAGGGCCAGCAUUUUUCCAGUUGGAUCCUGCUGAGAAUCAAUCCUGGUUAUUGUUCUAGUGGCCAGUAGGGAAGGUGAGAGCGGAUUUCGAGAAGACAUUGUCUUGUAAGAGAUUGGUCACCAUUUAAAUCUCUUAAUAUACCUUAGGCAGAGCAGUCUACUCUAUUCUAGAAAGGAUUACUAGAAUACUUUUCUGUACUCUAGGCAGAGAGGGAUCAGGGGAAUCUGAUGAUUCAGUGUUUCCAGGUAUACACUCAGAUGUUUUUAUUCCAAGUCUCAGGAUCCCAUUGUUUCCUCUUAAGACUUUGACUUUGGCAUAGAGACCUCAGUUUUCUAUGCAGUUUUGCUUCACUUAUUAUCAGAUGCUAGGUCUCAUCUUCAGCAUGGUCUUCUUCCCUACUAUGUGAGGAAUGAUCACUUUAGACAUUGCUAAGGUCACCUUCUGACUAUCAACCCUGCCUUAAAUUAGUAGUUGGCUGACUUGUGUUGUCAUUUCUGUCUUCAGUGCAGCCAGAGCAUUCAACAGCAUCCAAUGAGUUAUGUAGAUUUUAUAAUUGCUACUUUAUUCAUAUAUCCCAAGUUCUAGAUGUGUCCAUCAUCUAGUGAAUCCCCUUUCACCUGCAACAGUUGGUCACAUUUUUUCCUUAGCUACUCUUAAUAAAUUAGGGGCACAGUUUCAGUUAAUGGGUUCAAAUAGUGGUUUUCAGUAAUGCCCCUAGCUCAAUAAAAACACUCUUAGUCCCUACUACCCCUCACAAAGUGGUUUCCAAAGGUUCAGACACUGGAGUUUUGCCACUUUUUUUGGGGGGGAUGGUACUAGAACUUGAAACCAGGGGUGCUUAACCAUUUAGCCACAUCCCCAACCUUUUUUAUUUUAGGACGGGUUCUUGUUAAGU
Molecule: non-coding RNA, 2101 nt
Organism: Ictidomys tridecemlineatus (thirteen-lined ground squirrel)
Lineage: Eukaryota; Metazoa; Chordata; Mammalia; Rodentia; Sciuridae
Source: RefSeq, a predicted model, not a curated record